AUGACUACCAGGAAAGGAAAAUAGGAGCCUCAUUCUUUCAAUUGGGGUGAAGCUUUAUAGUGAUUGAGCAGGGUACAGAUGGGGGGCAGCUACUGUAGAGGCCUGCUGGUGAAGGCAACACUUUGCUCCCGCCAAGGACGACGUUAGACUUGACAUGAACAAAACCAUGCCCAGCCCUUGGGGAACUGAGGAUCGAGUGUAACCAGUCUCAACCCUGUGCUGUUUUUUUUUUUUUUUUUUUUUUACUGAGAUGAAGUUUGUUUGCAAGUAACCAGGUAAUCCCUAGAAUGAAAGUUAAGAGCUCUUGCUUAGAACCUGUGGACUAUUGAGUUUUGGUGGAUGGGUUUGUUGUGGGUAAUGUGGGGAGACUUAAACUAGGAACACAGAACAGGAUGAGAAAGUCAAGGAAACCCUGGGCUGCAUAUGGAGCUCAAGUCCAAUCCGGACUACAAGUGACUCUGUCUUAAAAAAUGCCAUAUGUGUAUAUAACAUGGAAGGCAGCAGGGAGCCCUGGGAUAACGCUCAGAGAAUGUUAUAGACAAGCUAUGGCUGAAUGUUGUAGACCGGCGAUGUCCCAUCUCCCUCAGUUUCAGGAGAGAGUCAAAGGCCGAGGUAUCCCCUGUUCCCAGGUUCCCAGGAGCUCUUCAAGGCACUGAGCUGAAUGUAGAGAGACUCCUGCUGGUAUCAGACUCUCAGGAUCUGCCAGGAUGGCCAAAAAUGGUACAGGCUGGAAAUCUGAAUUUAGGUCUCCUAAGCAGAGAUGCAGGCAGAACAAUCAGGAGUAAUAAGACAAAAAGAAGAACUUAGCAGGAAGCUAAGAACAAAGGAUGCCGUCUCUGUUGUGAACAAGGCUCUCUACCAAAUAUAGUUUUAAUGCUCAUUGCUGGUUAAUGGCAGUUCUUAGCAAGAAACCUUGUUGUGAACUUCGCGAUAAAGCAGAGAGUUUUUGCAAUCUUUGAAACCUUUCACUUUGGAAAUAUCCACAAAACAAAUGGGAAAAACAAACAUUAAUGAGGCAGAUAUAAAACACUUUGGAGAAAAAAUAAUUUAACAUUUUUAUGGUUGCUAUAGAAACACCUCAGCCCUCACUCUUGCUAAUUAGUCGGGUUUUACACAUUUUAUAUUUGGAAAUGCAAAUCAGUUUUCAUAAAUUAUUACUUAUUUUUUUCCCCAUUUAUAUUUACAGUACUGGUGUACGGAGACACACGGGAAGUCUAGACGAUUACUUAGUUAUAUAACGUGACAUACUUAGUUAUGUGAGCCUGACAUUUAUGUCCACAAGACACUUCUUAGUUUAAAUAUUCUCCUGUUAAAUGUUGUGGGAAAUUAUGCAGAGAUUUAUAAUUUUUACAGAAGAAAAUGAGAAAAUGUAAAUCAUGUGGCGGCUCUCUAAAGUGCUUUCUCAUGGAGUCUUGGGAGGAGGAGGGCCCUUUACCCCCAGUGGAUUCUAAAUAAUAAACAUUUUAAGACUUUCCUCCAGCCGUGGGAAUUAUGGCUGGCUUGGGUGUCUUCUGAACUUUGGGUAUGAAACGCUGACCAUCUGCAAGCAGUUACUGGACUCUUGGUGAUUGGAGAAGACAGAAGUGUUUGGAGGAAAGGAACUAUGGGAUGGCUGUAAGAUCUGGGGCGGCAGGGAGUCUGGUAGAAUAGAGAUGGGUGGCUCUCAGACUCAGUAGACAGCAAUUAGAGAUCCAUUUUCAGUUUACGGUUAGGAGAUGGGAGGAGCUUAGGCCUCAGGACCAUUUGGCAGACUUGGUUCAAGCUUUAACUGAGCUACAUCUUAGCCUCAGGAUUGAGGCAAGUGAUUUGACCACUCCAAGAUUGCUCCUGUGAAAUGGAGACAAGAAGAACGACUGGCCCGUUGCAUAGUCUUUGUGUAAAUGAGAUCAUGGGAUCGUUGCAAGGAGUUUGCUUAGGGACGUGAGCAUGGUAAAUGUUUAGUUAGCACUAUCAAGUAAAAACAUCAUAGUAGGAUUGGAGAGAUGGCUCGCUCAGCAGUCAGAAAAAUUUAGAUGCUUCCCCAGAAGAUCCAGCCUCAGUUUCCUGUGCCCAUAUGGUGGCUCGUGACUCUCUGUAACUCCAGUCCUGGAAAACCUGACACCCUCUUCUGGCCUCUGUAUACCAAGCAUGCUGUGGCACAUAGGCAAACAUGCUGACAAGACACCACCACACAUAAAUAAAUAAAUGAAUGAAUGAAUAAAUAAACAAACCGUAUCAUAGUCAAUUCUCAUUGUAGAUAUAUUUAAUCUUCCCGAUUCCAACUAUGUAAAAGUAAAGAAAACC
This 2283-nucleotide long non-coding RNA is filed under the name Mus musculus (house mouse). RNAcentral's name for it is "long non-coding RNA chr11:44698783-44701066". The record is from RNAcentral. Lineage: Eukaryota; Metazoa; Chordata; Mammalia; Rodentia; Muridae.